GAAAGACUUGUAAAAGUUGCACAACUCUUACCUUGGGGGAAAGAUGUUACUGUCAAGAAUAUUAUCAGGAAUGCUUCUUCAGUAAUUCAGUACAUGGAGUUGAAGUCGUCAUCAAGGUGCGGUGGAAAGAAUCGUUUUGAUCAUGUCGGUUUUGAUUUGGAUGAUUUAGUCGCUGACUGUUUGAACAAAGAAAUCGGGUACAGGUAUGAUACUUGUGAUGUGGAAAAGGACUUGCAGUAUUUUGAGGUGGAGAAUUCUCCAACUUUGAGAACAGAAGGAACAAAUAAUCUCCAGAUUUCGCAUGAAUGCUUGGCCAUGAUUUAUUCAAAUUUCUUAGAUCACUUACCAUUGAUUAAGUCUUCUGCAGAAAUAGAAGAGGCAGAUUGGACAAAACAGGAGAAGGGAUAUGACAUUUACACUUGUAGAGAGUGGUGGACAGGCAAAUCAGAAAUGAGCAAGAAACUUUUGCUGAAGCAAAUUAUUGAGAAAGAUGUUGGAUUGAAUGCAAACCC
Molecule: long non-coding RNA, 512 nt
Filed under: Coffea arabica (coffee)
Lineage: Eukaryota; Viridiplantae; Streptophyta; Magnoliopsida; Gentianales; Rubiaceae
Description: long non-coding RNA (CARA_LNC001594)
Source: RNAcentral